CUGGAGGACUUAAUGCUCUCAUUUCCUGUUUGAAAUAGGCUCAGGUCAGCUUGUUGUGUUGGUGUGGGCACAACCUGCAGCCAUCCUUGACCACCUCAUGAACUAAAACUUGUCCCAGAGCUGGAUAAGAAGAUGUUUGGGCACCGCUGUGUGUUGGGAACUGUCCAAAUGUUCCAACCCCAAGACACUUCAAAAAGACUUCUAAUGAGAAGCUGAGGAGUUGGAAGAAAACCAGUCAGAAUUCUUGAAGUUGGCCAAUGAAGUCCAAGAGAGGACCAGCCUGGAUCUUGCAUCCCAAAAAGCCAAGCUGAGCCUCUGGAGCUCACACCCAGCUGGCACAGCUGCCUCUGCCCAGAUGGGAGGAUCCCUGGCCACGGGGUGGACAAUAUACUCACAAUAAAUUUAUAUACACAUCAUUAUAUAUAUGGAGGUGUUCACUUUAUUCUCUUUUUUCAUUUGGAAAGUUGUGUGUAAUGUAAAGAAUUGGCAAGCAGCUACCAUCAACUACAACAAAAAUAUUUGAAACUUCUUUCCUCCUGUGAUGCUUCACUUGCUCCACAUCCAAUGCAAGCCAAAGAAUGCUGGGCUUGCAAAUGACUUUUCAUGAUGAAUUCAUGUCCAGUUGGAAGUGGCUGUAGGAACUUCUGCUACUGGAAUUGAGGAAAUGCACCUUGGCAUCUAAAGGGAUGAGCAAGAGAGGUAGCUGAAGACUUGCUGUGUGUCAGAGUAGCCUGCUGGGUUGUAAAGACUUGUGAAGAAAACAGAGUUGGUGCAGUUAAUUGUCCACAGAAAUUUCUUUGCGAGCUGUUUCUGCUCACAGAAAUGCUGUUCUCCUCUUUCACUUGGUGAGGAAGCUGUGGUACCUGCCAUCUCUGCAGAAGAGUUUUUGAUCUCCAAAGUUUUUGGUUUCAGAAGAGAAACAGGCUGAACUUGGGGGGUAUUGCUGGAAUGGGACAUUUCCCACCACCUUUUUUCUGCUCUGCAGCUGGCCUUGCCCCACCAUGUAAAUGGGGGAAUUUUGUGGAGAACAUUAUCUCCGCUUUUGCAGACCUCUGUCAGAAACUUCAGCCUCUGUGUGGACGGGCCAGAAGUACUAAAACACAAUUUCAGAGCGAACCAGAAGGAUUUCCAUGACUGGAUUUUUGGUCCAUAGCCCAGCAGAACCCUUAAACACAUGUGCAAUCUGAGGGAAGUGUGUAACAUCUUAAGUGAAUUUGUUUCAGCUGUGUUCACGCCUCUAUGUCAAGUACUUCAGAUGAAAAUUGGGACUAUAAAACCCUGCUGGUAUGAAAGUUUUUUCUUCUAUAAAGUUUAAAGUUGUGUGCAGCAGUAUUCCAUAUCCCAAACUAAUAGUUUGCAUGUGCGAACCAAAGUAUUAAGUUCACAGUUUUUGAGCAAAGCCAAUGUUUAUGAUGUGACACAUCCAGUGUGUCACUUACCUGCUCAACCACAAAGCUGCCUCAUAUUUUGUGGAAUUGGGAUCUGUGGGAUAGCAAGACUUGCUGCUGCAAAGAGGUUAAAUUAAUCAAGUUGUUUGAAUGGGAGAAAUUAUUAAGUGAUCAAAAUAUACAGCUCAUUUUUGUAGUAAAGUGAAGUGGAUGGCUUGCUUAUCUCAGUGUCCACAUGCAUGUAUUCCUGCUCUUUCAGGAAAUUCAUCUCCAGUGCAAAUUCACAGAUUUCCCAUCUUUGGACUAGCAUAAUUCAGACUUCUGGCUGUGAAAGUGAUUCCAGGCGAAGAAACUGGAUCCUGUUUAAUAUCUGAAAGUCUUCAUCUGUGCUGGGGAAGGGUCACCACGUGUUCUGUCAGCAGAGUUACCAGCUUUAAGCAGACACACAUAUCUGGGGCUGCAUGAUUUAAAGGGGUAACAUUUUUCAGUAGUUAAAAGAUGCCAGCUGGGUAAAUAAACCCAGACCAUCAUGCACAAGUCCUCCUGCUUCCCAAAGUUCAUUAGAGAUAACAAGACUCUUGGCAUUUGGAUAAUAAAUCCACGCUCUAAGGGCUGCUGUGUGCAGGUUGAGGAGCUCAGAUGGUGACAUUAAUGGUGCAAAUACAAUAACAUUUGAAAAGAAACUUCUUGGAGGGGAGAGGAGGGAGCAGGAAAGGGCAGCCAAGUGUUGGAGCACUGGGGGGAAUUUCACAAUUGCACCUCUCUGUGCAGAGCACCCACCACAGACAGACCUGCCACAGGCUGCUGGUUAUUUCUGUGUCAGGGAAGGGAGUGUUUGGGGCAGUGACAGGUGGGGAAUGGGGAUGUUCCCUGCCUGAGCUGGUUUGUCUGGCCUCAGCAGUGGGGGCAGAUGGGCUCAGGGACUGCCUGGGAUGUCACCCCCAGCUCUUCCUUCCUCACCUGCCUCCCUGCAAUGGUUUCAUUUGCACUGAGUUACCUGCCUGUGUGCUUGGGCUGUGGGUAUUUGGCUGUAAUCCCAAAAUACUUCUUGAAAAGUUUGUGCAGGGGAAAGUUAAAACCUCCAGAAAAACACUGUGAGAUACUCAGUGAGGCAGGGGCUACCUGUGAUUUUUGGUAAUAAGCCCCUUUUUAUUGCUUUAGUACUAAUUACCAACUCCUCCAUCAGAUACAGAAACUGUGUACAUCCAUGAUCUGUGCUGAUCUGAUAACACCUGUGCACCAGUGUUCUCCUUGGCCAGCAGAGCAAAAAAAAAAAAAAAAGAACAAAUGUAAUUUUGAAA
This is a long non-coding RNA of Passer domesticus (house sparrow), 2689 nucleotides long. RefSeq lists it as uncharacterized. Lineage: Eukaryota; Metazoa; Chordata; Aves; Passeriformes; Passeridae. The transcript is spliced from 4 exons. The record is from RefSeq and is a predicted model, not a curated record.